This is a long non-coding RNA of Acinonyx jubatus (cheetah), 2770 nucleotides long. RefSeq lists it as uncharacterized. The transcript has 2 exons. The record is from RefSeq and is a predicted model, not a curated record. Lineage: Eukaryota; Metazoa; Chordata; Mammalia; Carnivora; Felidae.
CACACCUGCCAGUGUCAGUCCAGGCGUAGCUACGGAUCUCUGUUCUGGCCGGCAGGUGUGAGAAGAAGCCACAGCAUAGGCUUUGAGGAACGGAAGCACCUGGCAUUCCCUUUGACCUCGCUUAUUUCUCUGUUCUUGCCUAUAAGGACACCUAGAAAUACUGCACCUUCUCAGCAAGAACUGUCAGAACGAAGGCCUAACAGCGUGGAAAGAUGGUGCCUGGUCCCUGAUGUCACGCCUUAGACCCGCUGACUUCUGGACUCUGCAACAGGAGAACAAACCCGUUUUUUCAACUACUCUGAGGUUUUUAAGUUUAUUUAUUUAAGAGAGAGCACAUGUGAGUAGGGGAGAGGCAGAGAGAGAGAGAGAGAGAGAGAGAGAGAGAAAGCGAGCGCACGCAGGAGAGAAUCCCAAGCAGGCUCCGUGCUGUCAGUGCAGCGCCCGGGGCUCGAACUCAUGAACUCCAAGAUCAUGACCUGAGCCUAAAUGAAGAGUUGAAUUAAAAAAAAUUUUUUUUAUGUUUAUUUUUGAGAAAGAGACACAAAGAGGGGAGCAGGGGAAGGUCAGAGACAGAGGAAGACAAAGUAUCUGAAGCAGUCUUGAACCCAUGAACCGUGAGAUCCAUGACCUGAGCCGAAGUUGGACGUUGAACUAAGCCACCCAGAUGCCCCUGAAGUAAUUUUUGAAAUGAGCAGCUAAGUGCACGUCUGACACAGUAGAAUGUAUUAACAUUACCAGUUGCACUUCUGGGUGUCUACCGUCGAGACUCAUUUGGAGAUGUGUCUAAGAGCAUUCACAGCUAUGCGGUUUGAUAAACUGGCCACGUGGAAAACUAACUCCUUCAGAGUGAUCGAGCCACAGGAGAAGGCAGCCAUAUGAGAACCACUAUGACCAAGAGGAAGACCAUCAGCCCAUCCCAAACAAGACACCCGGAGGCAUGACCCCCAGGACUUCUGCCGUGGCCAUGUGCCUUAAACCAGUCGACUACUUCCUGGAGGUCAAAUGGCUGAGCCUCGUAACCCAGCUCCUUCUUGGCCUUCUCUAGACUAAAGUAAUGUGUGACGCCAGUUUUGUAAACUUCUGUGCGGGUGAGGAAGGGCUGGAAGUUGUAGACCCGACCAAAAAGGAAGUGAGCCAUUUCUGUCAGGAAAGCAAAACAGUAGAUGAGGGUCAAGGGCAGGCAGAUGGAUGGGAACCUGUAGCCCAGGCCCUCAACCAGAGGCCGGAGGAACUCAAAGUUGUUCACGGGUCUGCCGUCCGAAAUGAAGUAAGGCUGCCCAGAGGCCACGUGGCCCUUGGCAGCUGUCAGGGCCUCUGAGGCCAGAAUGUGAGCCUGGACCAAGUUAUCCACGUGGACAAAUUCAACCAGGCUCCCAGGAUCCCCAUACACAAACUUGAAGAGACCCCUCUCAAUGUAGCUCACUAUCCUGGGAAGGUGCCUUUGUUCUCCAGGCCCGUAGAUGCCAGCCGGCCUCAGAGCACAGGUUCUCAAGACACCAUCACUUCUUACCAGGGUAGCACCAUUGGCCUCCAGCACUUUCUUUUCUGCAAUAGAUUUGGUCCGAGAGUAGUGAUCAGGAUGGAGGUGAAGAGGUAGGUAAGGCAGAGAUUCAUCUCCAUUUCUGAUAACUUGACCUCCAAAGAUGACAUUGAAAGUGCUAGUGUAAACUAACCUUGGCACCCCUCUCCUCCUGCAAACCUGGAGGAUGUGGUCUGUGCCCCCGACAUUGACUUCUUCAAUCAGGCUUCGAUUCAGCUGCUCCCGCCCCGACAUGCCAUAAGAGGCGAUAUGGAACACACAUGCAAUGUCCACAUCCUGGAAGGCUUUCUCCACAUCACAGAGGUGGCGAAUGUCUCCGUGUAUAAACUUGACUCCCUCUGGCAAGGGAUGAGCAGGGCUUUUGAUGUCAAAGAGAAUCACAUGGAAUCCUUUCUGGUUCAGAGCACAGCCUAGGCUGAAACAAGGAAAAGCAAGCUAGAUCGAAUAGUGACUAAGCUAUGCCUGACGAAAACCACAUAAAAUAAUUUACCAAUCAAUGUGGGGCUGACUCAAGUCUUCUGGGCUUAUCCUGAGUCCCCUCGCUUUACAUGUUCAUUGUGCAACAAUGCCUUAUGUAAGCACGCAAAUAUUCAAAACUGAGGAUCCACAUAUCCUUGCUUCUUCUAUCUUCUCACAUAGAUGGCAGCAACUACAGGUUCCAUUUUCCCCCUCUGUUUUAGGACCCACCAUCCAUUCUUUGGGACAUUCAUGAAUGAUAACAGAGCUGCAAAGGAAUAACUUAUUAUCUGGGGGCACCCGGGUGGCUCAGGCACUUGAGCCUCAGACUCUUGGUUUCGGCUCAGGUUGUGAUCUCAUGGUUUGUGAGUUCAAGCCCAGCAUCGGGCUCUGUGAUGACAGCAUGGAGCCUGCUUGGGAUUCUCUCUCUCUCCCUCUCUCUCUCUCUCUCUCUCUCUCUGCCCUCCCCUGCUCACUUUCUCUCUCUCUUUCAAAAACAAAUAAAUAAACAUUAAAAAAAGAGUAGGUAUUAUUUUAAAAUGUUUUUGGUGGGCGCAUUAUCUACACCCGCCCCCAAUUUAAUGCCUUUACAAAGAAUCUUUCUUAAAGUAGUAUAUAUCUGUAGUUCUGAAUUUCAAUGUCUGAGCAGUGGGCAACCUAGUUCAUUUCUGGUUUAACACUGUUCAAAUGAGUAAAAGUCUACACUGUACUCAUGUCAGAGUCAAAAGCUGUCAUUUUUUUCCCCAGCAACUACCAAUAAAAUAAUUCCACAGA